Molecule: ribosomal RNA, 800 nt
Filed under: uncultured bacterium
Lineage: Bacteria
Description: bacterial SSU rRNA
Rfam family: Bacterial small subunit ribosomal RNA
Source: RNAcentral
UAUGAACGCUGGCGGCAGGCCUAACACAUGCAAGUCGAGCGGAUGAAGAGAGCUUGCUCUCUGAUUCAGCGGCGGACGGGUGAGUAAUGCCUAGGAAUCUGCCUGGUAGUGGGGGACAACGUUUCGAAAGGAGCGCUAAUACCGCAUACGUCCUACGGGAGAAAGCAGGGGACCUUCGGGCCUUGCGCUAUCAGAUGAGCCUAGGUCGGAUUAGCUAGUUGGUGAGGUAAAGGCUCACCAAGGCGACGAUCCGUAACUGGUCUGAGAGGAUGAUCAGUCACACUGGAACUGAGACACGGUCCAGACUCCUACGGGAGGCAGCAGUGGGGAAUAUUGGACAAUGGGCGAAAGCCUGAUCCAGCCAUGCCGCGUGUGUGAAGAAGGUCUUCGGAUUGUAAAGCACUUUAAGUUGGGAGGAAGGGCAGUAAGCUAAUACCUUGCUGUUUUGACGUUACCGACAGAAUAAGCACCGGCUAACUUCGUGCCAGCAGCCGCGGUAAUACGAAGGGUGCAAGCGUUAAUCGGAAUUACUGGGCGUAAAGCGCGCGUAGGUGGUUCGUUAAGUUGGAUGUGAAAGCCCCGGGCUCAACCUGGGAACUGCAUCCAAAACUGGCGAGCUAGAGUAUGGCAGAGGGUGGUGGAAUUUCCUGUGUAGCGGUGAAAUGCGUAGAUAUAGGAAGGAACCCCAGUGGCGAAGCGACCACCUGGGCUAUACUGACACUGAGGUGCGAAAGCGGGGGAGCAAACAGGAUAGAUACCCUGGUAGUCACGCCGUAAACGAUGUCGACUAGCCGUUGGAU